CAAGAGCUGCCGCUCACUGAUUGUUAGUCAGAACUAUCGAAAGCCAUGCUCAGCUGCAUCCAGUCGGAAGCUGACGACUCAAGUUCUCUAGACAGCAGAUAUAUGCAGAGUAAGUGUUGAAUUCGUAUAGCACUGGAUGCAAUCCCGUGGGGUACGCGAGCCCCUGGCAUAAGACGUCCGCUCAUGGCACGAGAGGGCGGCGUAGCCGACAGGAUUUGAUACCCGUGGUAUUUCCCACUCGUAAACGACAUCCUGGUAUGAGUUUUCCUCGUCUUGAAACAACUGUGAGUUUGGAAAGUUACACAAUUAGGUUGCUCGGCUGGGGGAGAAGGGGCUUCAAAGUUAAAAUUCAAAAUGAACUGGCGGGGGGCCCUCCCCACCGGUUAGAGCAAUUGAUUCUAUGACACGCCAGAGUAACAACCUUUCCUUACUCUUAACUACCCCGGAACUCUUCCGGGAAGUAGGGUGACCGAUCAGUUACAUUAAGACAUGUCCUUUCUGGCCUGCCUCAACUCGUUUUGAAAAAAUAAGGCCUUUAUUGCCGAAACGAACAUCGACCCAUCUGCUUUUUUCCCCAGUGCGUAAUGUUCGGGCACUCCUGGGAGCCGGCGGGGUAUAAACCGGGGGUCAGUGGGGGGGGAGGCUGAGCAACCACGGCCCUCACGAGGGGGGUCGUCACCCGGGUGACAAAUGCGAGUACAGAGGAUUGCAUACCCCCGAGGUGGAGCCAAUCUCAAAAAGCUCGUAGUAGUCCGUAUUGGAGUCUGCAACUGGACUCCAUGAAGUCGGAAUCGCUAGUAAUCGAGGAUCAGAAUGCCACGGGGAAUACGUUCCCGGGCCUUGUACACACCGCCCGUCACACCAUGGGAGUGGUCUGCAAAAGAAGUGGGUAGCUUAACCUUCGGGGGGGCGCUCACCACUUUGUGGUUCAGACAGGGGCGAAGUCGAACAAGGUAACCA
Molecule: ribosomal RNA, 960 nt
Filed under: uncultured soil bacterium
Lineage: Bacteria
Description: SSU rRNA
Rfam family: Bacterial small subunit ribosomal RNA (bases 323-960)
Source: RNAcentral